AACGAACGCUGGCGGCAGGCCUAACACAUGCCAGUCGAGCGAGGACUUCGGUUCUAGCGGCGGACGGGUGAGUAACGCGUGGGAAUGUGCCCUUCUCUACGGAAUAGCCCUGGGAAACUGGGAGUAAUACCGUAUACGCCCUAUUGGGGAAAGAUUUAUCGGAGAAGGAUCAGCCCGCGUUGGAUUAGGUAGUUGGUGGGGUAAUGGCCUACCAAGCCGACGAUCCAUAGCUGGUUUGAGAGGAUGAUCAGCCACACUGGGACUGAGACACGGCCCAGACCCCGAGGGGGGGCGGCGGGGGGGAGUUUUAAAAAGGGGGGGCACCCCGAACAUGCCCAGCCGGUGGGGGAGAGAAAGCCUUUGGGUUUGAAAACCCCUUCGGGAGGGGAAGAAAAGGCGGUCCCGGGAGAAAAAGCCCCGGCCAACCCCGGGC
RNAcentral lists this ribosomal RNA (433 nucleotides) under uncultured bacterium. RNAcentral's name for it is "partial 16S ribosomal RNA". It matches the Rfam family "Bacterial small subunit ribosomal RNA", at positions 29 to 508 of the family's 1533-position model. The record is from RNAcentral.